GGGGGCGUAAGGAUUCGACGGGGGUUGUGGAAGCAGGAACGGCAGGCCCAGGACCAUGGCCUGGCUAAAACAUGGAACGGCAAUAAACGCCAACAAACCUCAAUUAGCUGCUGCUUAAUUAAUAAGUAGCACGUCCCUCUCCUCCCUGGCCGGGGGCGGAAAAGGGGCGCCAACAAUCCGGCCUACUGCCUCAGCGGCUGUCUCACCGCUGCAGCGGGAAACUCAAGCAGACUGGCGCCGGCGAAUCCGGUCCCGGGGAGCCGGACGGCGCGAGAAGCAAAACCGGGACUAAGCCUGUAGAAAUUCCUGUUGCUGGGCCUUCGGACGCGGGUUCGAUUCCCGCCGCCUCCACCA
RNAcentral lists this transfer-messenger RNA (354 nucleotides) under Bacillota bacterium. RNAcentral describes it as "Firmicutes bacterium (anaerobic digester metagenome) transfer-messenger RNA". It matches the Rfam family "transfer-messenger RNA". From Rfam's summary of the family: Bacterial tmRNA, also known as 10Sa RNA or SsrA, is named for its dual tRNA and mRNA-like properties. Its role is to liberate the mRNA from a stalled ribosome. RNAcentral also lists the same sequence under 1 other name. The record is from RNAcentral. Lineage: Bacteria; Bacillati; Bacillota.